Molecule: ribosomal RNA, 551 nt
Filed under: Microdochium nivale
Lineage: Eukaryota; Fungi; Ascomycota; Sordariomycetes; Xylariales; Microdochiaceae
Description: eukaryotic LSU rRNA
Rfam family: 5.8S ribosomal RNA (bases 170-323)
Source: RNAcentral
UUCCGUAGGUGAACCUGCGGAGGGAUCAUUACUGAGUUUUCAACUCUCCAAACCAUGUGAACUUACCACUGUUGCCUCGGUGGUUUGGGUCUUCGGGCCUGACCACCGGCGGACUACUAAACUCUUGUUAAUUUUUGGCAUUCUGAAUCAUAACUAAGAAAUAAGUUAAAACUUUCAACAACGGAUCUCUUGGUUCUGGCAUCGAUGAAGAACGCAGCGAAAUGCGAUAAGUAAUGUGAAUUGCAGAAUUCAGUGAAUCAUCGAAUCUUUGAACGCACAUUGCGCCCAUUAGUAUUCUAGUGGGCAUGCCUGUUCGAGCGUCAUUUCAACCCUUAAGCCUAGCUUAGUGUUGGGAGACUGCCUAAUACGCAGCUCCUCAAAACCAGUGGCGGAGUCUGUUCGUGCUCUGAGCGUAGUAAUUCUUUAUCUCGCUUCUGCAAGCCGAUUAGACAACAGCCAUAAACCGCACCCUUCGGGGGCACUUUUUAAUGGUUGACCUCGGAUCAGGUAGGAAUACCCGCUGAACUUAAGCAUAUCAAUAAGCGGAGGAA